Molecule: long non-coding RNA, 141 nt
Organism: Limulus polyphemus (Atlantic horseshoe crab)
Lineage: Eukaryota; Metazoa; Arthropoda; Merostomata; Xiphosura; Limulidae
Exons: 3
Source: RefSeq, a predicted model, not a curated record
ACUAGCAUUCAAGCAUGACAUUUGUAUCUUACUAUUUACUAGGUAUUCAAGUAUAACAUUUGUAUCUUACUAUUUACUAGGUAUUCAAGUGUGACAUUUGUAUCUUACUAUUUACUAGCAUUCAAGCAUGACAUUUGUAUC